Molecule: ribosomal RNA, 600 nt
Filed under: uncultured Actinomycetes bacterium
Lineage: Bacteria; Bacillati; Actinomycetota; Actinomycetes
Description: bacterial SSU rRNA
Rfam family: Bacterial small subunit ribosomal RNA
Source: RNAcentral
GUGAGGUAACGGCUCACCAAGGCAUCGACGGGUAGCUGGUCUGAGAGGAUGAUCAGCCACACUGGGACUGAGACACGGCCCAGACUCCUACGGGAGGCAGCAGUGGGGAAUAUUGCACAAUGGGCGCAAGCCUGAUGCAGCGAUGCCGCGUGCGGGAUGAAGGCCCUAGGGUUGUAAACCGCUUUCAGUAGGGAAGAAAAUGACGGUACCUACAGAAGAAGGUGCGGCCAACUACGUGCCAGCAGCCGCGGUGACACGUAGGCACCAAGCGUUGUCCGGAUUUAUUGGGCGUAAAGAGCUCGUAGGCGGUUCAGUUAGUCGGGUGUGAAAACUCUGGGCUCAACCCAGAGACGCCACCCGAUACUGCUGUGACUUGAGUACGGUAGGGGAGUGGGGAUUUCCUGGUGUAGCGGUGAAAUGCGCAGAUAUCAGGAGGAACACCAGUGGCGAAGGCGCCACUCUGGGCCGUAACUGACGCUGAGGAGCGAAAGCAUGGGUAGCAAACAGGAUUAGAUACCCUGGUAGUCCAUGCCGUAAACGUUGGGCACUAGGUGUGGGUCUCAACCAACGAGAUCCGCGCCGUCGCUAACGCAUUAAGUG